This 73-nucleotide transfer RNA is filed under the name Sphaerodactylus townsendi. RNAcentral's name for it is "tRNA-Thr". It matches the Rfam family "tRNA". Rfam says of the family: Transfer RNA (tRNA) molecules are approximately 80 nucleotides in length. Their secondary structure includes four short double-helical elements and three loops (D, anti-codon, and T loops). Lineage: Eukaryota; Metazoa; Chordata; Lepidosauria; Squamata; Sphaerodactylidae. The record is from RNAcentral.
GGUGUUGUAGCUCAGCAGUAGAGCACCCGCUUGGUAUGCAGAAGAUCUCAGGGUUCAAUCCCCAUCAACGUCU